RNAcentral lists this long non-coding RNA (1007 nucleotides) under Salvia miltiorrhiza (redroot sage). RNAcentral's name for it is "long non-coding RNA (SMIL_LNC011397)". The record is from RNAcentral. Lineage: Eukaryota; Viridiplantae; Streptophyta; Magnoliopsida; Lamiales; Lamiaceae.
CCCACUCUCUCCUCUUGUUCCACCGCCUCCACCACCUUCCAUCUGCCUUCUUCCACCGCCUCGCACCUUCGGCGCCUCGCGCCUUCGCCACCAUCCUCACACCUCCGCCACCGUCCUCCUGCGCUGCCUCCACCUUUCUCCUGCUCCGCCACGCACCUCCUGCUCCGCCUCCAACGUCUCCGCCGCCUCGCGCCUCCGCGAGCUCCAACGCUGCCUCUGUCGCAACAGCCGCUGCCCUUCGCCUCCUUCCACCGACUGGUACCUCCGGCGCCUCGCGCCUUUGCCACCAUCUUCCUUCGCCGUCUCCACGAUCCUCCUGCUCCGCUUCCAACGCCUCCGCCACCUCGCUCUCGCCCACCACCUCUUGCUCCGCGGGCUCCAACGCCGCCUCUGCCCUCCGCCUCCGGCUCUCGCCCACCACCUCUUGCUAUCGGUCGCUGCAGAGACGAAAUUGAAAGAUUUCAAUUUUUUGUUGUUUUGCCCAAAACGAUUAGGGCUCGCCUCCACCCUUUCAAUUAUUUUUGUUGUUUUAAUUUUAGAAAUUGAAAGAUUUCCAUUUUUUGAUUUCUCUGUGGUGGUGUUUUGGUGUUCCUGCUCAGAAAUUGAAAUUAAGUCCCAGUGUUUUGGUGUUUUGGCAGAAAUUAGGGUUCGGCUCCGUUUUUUUAUUUCCCUUCAUUGUUCUGGUGGCUACGGUGGUGCGGUUCAGAAAUUGUGGUGGUGCGGUGGCGCACAGGCGGUGGCGCGGCAGUGCACAGGCGGUGAUGAGGCAGUGUAUUAGAGCCUGAGACCCUUAAUUAAAGUAACAUUAACUUUUUUAAAUAUACCAUUUAACUCUUAAUUUUAGUCUCCUAAAUACCCGUGCCCAAAAGAAAGGGGAUUUUAUUAACGGGACGGAGGGAGUACUAUUUUCAAAAACGUGUCAUGUUUCGUGGGACAAACCAAAAACGAAACUGUGUCAUGCUUCGUGGGACGGAGAAAUUAUCAGAUUAGCAGAGUAGAAGAGUAGU